GAUGAAGAAACGUAGCGAAAUGCGAUACUUGGUGUGAAUUGCAGAAUCCCGUGAACCAUCGAGUCUUUGAACGCAAGUUGCGCCCGAAGCCAUUAGGCCGAGGGCACGCCUGCCUGGGCGUCACACGUCGUUGCCCCCCCAUCUACUCCUUCGGGAUUGCGGGGGGCGGAUGAUGGCCUCCCGUGCGCCUCGCCGCGCGGUUGGCAUAAAUGCCAAGUCCUCGGCGACGCACGCCACGACAAUCGGUGGUUGCGAAACCUCGGUUGCCCGUCGUGUGCGGUCGUCGCGCAUCGAGGGCUCGAAAAAAUUGCCGGGUUCCGGCUCGGCUUUCAACGCGACCCCAGGUCAGGCGGGGUUACCCGCUGAAUUUAAGCAUAUCAAUAAGCGGAGGA
Molecule: unclassified non-coding RNA, 392 nt
Filed under: soil metagenome
Description: partial contains 5.8S ribosomal RNA, internal transcribed spacer 2, and large subunit ribosomal RNA
Rfam family: 5.8S ribosomal RNA (bases 1-123)
Source: RNAcentral